CAAGGAUGAGCUCAAUUUUAUUCUCCAGGCCUAUUACUCCAAUCACUUUCUAUAAAGGAUAAAGCCUUAUAAAGUGAUAAAAUCUUUUGGGAAUGGCUAAUGUGGGACAAAGAAAUUUCUACUCAAACUAUUCAAAUUUCCAACAAUACCCCACAUUUGAGUUGAAAUUUCAUUCAAACUCCAACAAUUACCCCACAUUUGAAUGCAAAUGUAAAUGCAAAUGGAUGACUAGGCUGCCUAAGAAUGAGAGAGAAUAGACAUGAUAUGCAUCGAGUGAAGUGUCUUUUGGACUUGAACUUACCCUAGUGAAAACAUAUUGGGUUUACUUGGUGAUGCAGUGGAUGUGGAAGAUCUUGAACUGUCCACCGCAGUAGUAAACCGAGACAAUAUGUUACACACAUAUCAUGUUUGCCACACGUAAAUUCAUACGGUUAUGUUCAUUUUGGCCCUAAACAGAUCCCGGAUUUCGUAGGAGCUUUAGAAUUUAGCCAUGUCAAUUCUCAUAAAUGUGGCCCCAUUUGCUCCUAUAUAAGUGACAUUAAUUAAGAAUAGUCUGCCAUAUUCCUCUUGAUAACAAGAUAUUAAUGUCAUUAAAUGUAUAAAACAUAACCCCUCAAACGUCAACAGACAACACACAUUUUAUCAUAAGAAUGGGUAAGUUGUGUAUUCAACUUUGGAAUCAAACUCAACCAGUUUGCCUAUUGAAC
RNAcentral lists this long non-coding RNA (707 nucleotides) under Malus domestica (apple). RNAcentral's name for it is "long non-coding RNA (MDOM_LNC008194)". Lineage: Eukaryota; Viridiplantae; Streptophyta; Magnoliopsida; Rosales; Rosaceae. The record is from RNAcentral.